AAUCAAUAAAGAAGCAGAAAGUAUACAUAGUCCAUCAGUCACCUCUACAUAAAGUCAUAACUCAUGAGACAAAGGCUAAUCGAUGAAGCAAUUCAAGACAGAAAACAAUAGAUAACUUAUUUUAUUUUUUGUGAUUUUUAAUAUUAAAUUUAAAAUUAUUAUA
This 163-nucleotide long non-coding RNA is filed under the name Amphimedon queenslandica. Its description in RNAcentral is "uncharacterized LOC109593156". The record is from RNAcentral. Lineage: Eukaryota; Metazoa; Porifera; Demospongiae; Haplosclerida; Niphatidae.